This 441-nucleotide ribosomal RNA is filed under the name uncultured Bacillus sp. RNAcentral's name for it is "bacterial SSU rRNA". It matches the Rfam family "Bacterial small subunit ribosomal RNA", at positions 444 to 884 of the family's 1533-position model. Lineage: Bacteria; Bacillati; Bacillota; Bacilli; Caryophanales; Bacillaceae. The record is from RNAcentral.
CAAGUGCUAGUUGAAUAAGCUGGCACCUUGACGGUACCUAACCAGAAAGCCACGGCUAACUACGUGCCAGCAGCCGCGGUAAUACGUAGGUGGCAAGCGUUAUCCGGAAUUAUUGGGCGUAAAGCGCGCGCAGGUGGUUUCUUAAGUCUGAUGUGAAAGCCCACGGCUCAACCGUGGAGGGUCAUUGGAAACUGGGAGACUUGAGUGCAGAAGAGGAAAGUGGAAUUCCAUGUGUAGCGGUGAAAUGCGUAGAGAUAUGGAGGAACACCAGUGGCGAAGGCGACUUUCUGGUCUGUAACUGACACUGAGGCGCGAAAGCGUGGGGAGCAAACAGGAUUAGAUACCCUGGUAGUCCACGCCGUAAACGAUGAGUGCUAAGUGUUAGAGGGUUUCCGCCCUUUAGUUGAAGUACGCAUUAAGCACUCCGCCUGGGCGAGUACG